GAUGAAGAACGCAGCGAAAUGCGAUAAUUAAUGUGAAUUGCAGAAUUCAGUGAAUCAUCGAGUCUUUGAACGCACAUUGCGCCCCCUGGUAUUCCGGGGGGCAUGCCUGUCCGAGCGUCAUUGCUGCCCUCAAGCACGGCUUGUGUGUUGGGCUUCCGUCCCUGGCAACGGGGACGGGCCCAAAAGGCAGUGGCGGCACCAUGUCUGGUCCUCGAGCGUAUGGGGCUUUGUCACCCGCUCCCGUAGGUCCAGCUGGCAGCUAGCCUCGCAACCAAUCUUUUUACCCAGGUUGACCUCGGAUCAGGUAGGGAUACCCGCUGAACUUAAGCAUAUCAAUAAGCGGAGGA
This 347-nucleotide unclassified non-coding RNA is filed under the name soil metagenome. Its description in RNAcentral is "partial contains 5.8S ribosomal RNA, internal transcribed spacer 2, and large subunit ribosomal RNA". The stretch from base 1 to 120 matches the Rfam family "5.8S ribosomal RNA", at positions 35 to 154 of the family's 154-position model. The record is from RNAcentral.